This 542-nucleotide small RNA is filed under the name Pan troglodytes (chimpanzee). RNAcentral describes it as "retained intron". The record is from RNAcentral. RNAcentral also lists the same sequence under 1 other name. Lineage: Eukaryota; Metazoa; Chordata; Mammalia; Primates; Hominidae.
GUCACACAGCUCAUAGAUGGGCAGACUGUGGUCUUCUGCCUCCUAGUUCACAAUACUACACUUUCUUUCUGUGAUACAAGCUCACAGACAUUUGUUUAAAAUGACUACUGGUUACAGAUGCUGUGGUGAUUUCUGGAGAAAUAUCAUCACCUCCUCUAUUUUCAGUCAGCCAUCGCUCCCAGCCCCAACAGCCUUCCCAGCCCCAGCGGACCCUGCUCCAGCAUGUGGCUCAGUCACAGACCGCAACACAGACUUCGGUGGUGGUGAAGUCCAUCCCAGCAUCUUCCCCUGGAGCAAUCACCCACAUUAUGCAGCAGGCAUUAAGCAGUCACACUGCUUUUACCAAACACAGCGAGGAACUUGGAACUGAGGAGGGCGAGGUUGAAGAGAUGGACACUUUAGACCCUCAGACAGGUCUGUUUUACCGAUCUGCCCUGACUCAGUCACAGUCAGCUAAACAGCAGAAACUUAGCCAGCCCCCGCUGGAACAGACUCAGCUGCAAGUGAAAACUCUGCAGUGCUUCCAGACUAAACAGAAGCAG